AUGCCAUUUCAAAUUUUUGGCGUUGAAGCUCAACUGUUGCAUAUAAUGUUGAGGCCGCAAGAAAAGGUUAUAGCAAAGCCUGGUUCAGUGUGCUUUAUGUCUGGGUCGAACGAAAUGGGAAAAUGUAUUAGUUCCUGAAAAUGAAGUAGGGUGUGGCAGUGGCUUUUUGGCAAGACAGUGAGCAGCAUAGUUUUUCACAAUUACGGUCAAGGCGACGGGUUUGUUGGAAUUGCUGCACCUUCUCUUGCCAGAAUUCUCCCGAUUGACUUGGCAAUGUUUGGCGGAGAGAUUUUUUGCCAGCCAGAGGCAUUUCUUUGUUCCGUUAAUGUUGUUAAAGAAUACAGUUGACCAGAUGGGCUCGUGAUAUUAUUCCUGGUGCAGAGGGUUUUCUAGGACAUAAGCUAUCUAGCCAAGGGCUUGCAUUUAUAAUUGCAGGCGGAUCUGUUGUACAGAAAAUCUUGAGGUGGGCGAGGUACUGUGUGUUGAUGUUUCUUGUAUAGCAGCUGUGCAGUCAACGUCCAAAUCAAAUACAAUGGGCCCAUGAGAAGAGCAGUCUUUGGUGGAGACAAUCUUGUAACAGCUGUUUUAACCGGACCAGAUUCAGAGUUUACCUUUUCAUCGAUUUUCUUAGCGUAUUGCUAGGUCAGUUACAUCACCAAACAUGAGGGAAAAUCCCAAGUUGGUUAUGCAGAUGUCCAUUUUCCUGGCAUAUGUUGUGAUUAUAUCUUGGUACCAAUCACGCGCCAUGGAGACUGAGGCAAUGAUGGCUUAUAAUAAGGUGCAGCUAUGUAAGAGUUUGCAGCAUACUUCCAAGAACAAACUGCUUUGAAGCGAAGGAUGUCAAUGGGAGCAAGCUUUUUCAAGAUCAACUCUGCUAUUUCAAUUGGGACAUCAUCAGGCCACUUUGAUUCGCAUUCUUGUGUUCUCCUUUUGGUGCAGUGAUUCUGAUCAUGAGACAUUAUUAUUGGGAUAGUAGUAGUUUACAAAGAAUAUAUAAUCAUGAUUUUGGGGCGGUGAUGAAAUUCUAAUCAAAUACUACUAGCUAGCUAUUACUAAUAGCCUAUUGGCUAGGUAUUGUGCUUACGGAUGGCGAUGGCCUACGGAGAAGGAGGGAUUCCAAUUGAAUACUACCUACUAGUGCAAUAUAAUUCCGAAUCGAUUACAAAAGACUCCCGAACUACAUAUGAGACUAUUUUGUAUCGGUUUGAUACCUCAAGAUAUAUAUAUAUUUUUUCAGAAGGUUUGAU
RNA transcript from Fragaria vesca subsp. vesca, 1247 nucleotides. RefSeq lists it as uncharacterized. The transcript has 9 exons. NCBI's taxonomy places the organism in Eukaryota, Viridiplantae, Streptophyta, Magnoliopsida, Rosales, Rosaceae. The record is from RefSeq and is a predicted model, not a curated record.